AUUGAACGCUGGCGGCAUGCCUUACACAUGCAAGUCGAACGGCAGCACGGGAGCAAUCCUGGUGGCGAGUGGCGAACGGGUGAGUAAAGUAUCGGAACGUGCCCAGUCGUGGGGGAUAACGUAGCGAAAGUUACGCUAAUACCGCAUACGAUCUAUGGAUGAAAGCGGGGGAUCGCAAGACCUCGCGCGAUUGGAGCGGCCGAUAUCAGAUUAGGUAGUUGGUGGGGUAAAGGCUCACCAAGCCGACGAUCUGUAGCUGGUCUGAGAGGACGACCAGCCACACUGGGACGGAGACACGGCCCAGGCUCCUACGGGAGGCAGCAGGGGGGAAUUUUGGACAAUGGGCGAAAGCCUGGUCCAGCCAUGCCGCGUGCAGGAUGAAGGCCUUCGGGUUGUAAACUGCUUUUGUACGGAACGAAAAGGUUUGGGCUAAUAAGCUGAGCUCAUGACGGUACCGUAAGAAUAAGCACCGGCUAACUACGUGCCAGCCGCCGCGGUAA
RNAcentral lists this ribosomal RNA (500 nucleotides) under uncultured bacterium. RNAcentral describes it as "partial 16S ribosomal RNA". It matches the Rfam family "Bacterial small subunit ribosomal RNA", at positions 29 to 523 of the family's 1533-position model. The record is from RNAcentral.